Molecule: transfer RNA, 84 nt
Filed under: Acidimicrobiia bacterium
Lineage: Bacteria; Bacillati; Actinomycetota; Acidimicrobiia
Description: tRNA-Leu
Rfam family: tRNA
About the family: Transfer RNA (tRNA) molecules are approximately 80 nucleotides in length.
Source: RNAcentral
GCCCGGGUGGCGAAAUCGGCAGACGCGCGGGACUUAAAAUCCUGUGUCCGAAAGGACGUGUGGGUUCAAUUCCCACCCCGGGCA